ACAGGGUGUGGUGGUGCACACCUAUAAUCUCUGCUACCUUGGGAGGCUGUGACUGGUGAUCUCUUGGCUACAGUGAGCUAUGCUUGUUGGUUUUCUGAACUAAGUUCAGUAUUGUGAUGGUAAGCCAGGAGGAGCAGGAGGCCAGCAGGUUACCACAGGAGGAGUGAACCAGCCCAGGGUGGAAAUGGAGCAGGUCAGAGUUGCCAUGCCAAUGAGUAGUGAGAUCGGGCUGGUGAGUAAUCAUUGCACUUCCAGCCUGGGGGAGAUAGAGAGAACCGGUCUUU
RNAcentral lists this signal recognition particle RNA (284 nucleotides) under Phascolarctos cinereus (koala). RNAcentral's name for it is "Metazoan signal recognition particle RNA (ENSPCIG00000012527.2)". It matches the Rfam family "Metazoan signal recognition particle RNA". From Rfam's summary of the family: The signal recognition particle (SRP) is a universally conserved ribonucleoprotein. It is involved in the co-translational targeting of proteins to membranes. The eukaryotic SRP consists of a 300-nucleotide 7S RNA and six proteins: SRPs 72, 68, 54, 19, 14, and 9. Lineage: Eukaryota; Metazoa; Chordata; Mammalia; Diprotodontia; Phascolarctidae. The record is from Rfam by way of RNAcentral.